GCCAGACUCCUACGGGAGGCAGCAGUGAGGAAUAUUGGCCAAUGGGCUUACGCCUGAACCAGCCAAGUCGCGUGAGGGAAGACUGCCCUAUGGGUUGUAAACCUCUUUUGUCAGGGAGCAACGCCGGCUACGUGUAGCCGGACUGAGAGUACCUGAAGAAAAAGCAUCGGCUAACUCCGUGCCAGCAGCCGCGGUAAUACGGAGGAUGCGAGCGUUAUCCGGAUUUAUUGGGUUUAAAGGGUGCGUAGGCGGAAUGCCAAGUCAGCGGUAAAAUCGCGGGGCUCAACCUCGCCGAGCCGUUGAAACUGCUCUUCUAGAGUGGGCGAGAAGUAUGCGGAAUGCGUGGUGUAGCGGUGAAAUGCGUAGAUAUCACGCAGAACUCCGAUUGCGAAGGCAGCAUACCGGCGCCCAACUGACGCUCAUGCACGAAAGCGUGGGUAUCGAACAGGAUUAGAUACCCUAGUAC
RNAcentral lists this ribosomal RNA (466 nucleotides) under uncultured bacterium. Its description in RNAcentral is "bacterial SSU rRNA". It matches the Rfam family "Bacterial small subunit ribosomal RNA", at positions 330 to 793 of the family's 1533-position model. The record is from RNAcentral.